GCAGGUGUAUUCCAGAGAGUAAAUCUCCAAACAUCUUUGCUGCAUUGACGCUGAGCUGUCAGGGGACUCAGGCUUAUGAGGAGGUAUUGUCACACAAAACAGUGUCUAGUGGAGACAACAAGAAAGAGAGGAAAGGAUCGGAGAAAGAAGUUAAAAUACUAUAGAAAACCAUGAGAUCCAUUCGAUCUUUUGCCAAUGAUGAUCGCCACGUUAUGGUGAAACAUUCAACAAUCUAUCCAUCUCCAGAGGAACUUGAAGCUGUUCAGAAUAUGGUGUCUACUGUUGAAUGUGCUCUUAAGCAUGUAUCAGAUUGGUUGGAUGAAGCAAAUAAAGGCAUGAAAACAGAGAGUGAGACAGAAGUGAAGAAAGAUGAGGCUGGAGAAAACUAUUCCAAGGAUCAAGGUGGUCGGACAUUGUGUGGUGUAAUGAGGAUUGGCCUGGUUGCAAAAGGUUUGCUGAUUAAAGAUGAUAUGGACUUGGAGCUGGUUUUAAUGUGCAAAGACAAACCCACAGAGACCCUGUUAAAUACAGUCAAAGAUAAUCUUCCUAUUCAGAUUCAGAAACUCACAGAAGAAAAAUAUGAAGUGGAACAAUGUGUAAAUGAGGCAUCAAUUAUAAUUCGGAAUACAAAAGAACCCACACUAACUUUGAAGGUGAUACUUACUUCCCCUUUAAUUAGGGACGAAUUGGAGAAGAAGGAUGGAGAAAAUGUUUCGAUGAAAGAUCCACCGGACUUAUUGGACAGGCAGAAAUGCCUGAAUGCCUUGGCGUCUCUUCGACAUGCCAAAUGGUUUCAGGCAAGGGCAAAUGGAUUAAAAUCAUGUGUAAUUGUCCUCCGCAUUCUGCGUGAUUUGUGCAACAGAGUCCCCACAUGGGCACCAUUAAAAGGAUGGCCACUAGAACUUAUAUGUGAAAAGUCUAUAGGUACUUGUAAUAGACCUUUGGGCGCUGGGGAGGCCUUGAGACGAGUAAUGGAGUGUUUGGCAUCUGGAAUACUACUUCCUGGAGGUCCUGGUCUUCAUGAUCCUUGUGAACGAGACCCAACAGAUGCUCUAAACUAUAUGACCAUCCAGCAAAAAGAAGAUAUUACUCACAGUGCACAGCAUGCACUCAGACUAUCUGCCUUUGGCCAGAUUUACAAAGUACUGGAGAUGGACCCCCUUCCAUCUAGUAAACCUUUUCAGAAGUAUUCCUGGUCAGUUACUGAUAAAGAAGGUGCUGGGUCUUCAUCUCUAAAGAGGCCAUUUGAAGAUGGAUUAGGCGAUGAUAAAGACCCCAAUAAGAAGAUGAAACGAAACUUAAGGAAAAUUCUGGAUAGUAAAGCAAUAGACCUUAUGAAUGCACUAAUGAGGCUAAAUCAGAUCCGGCCUGGGCUUCAGUAUAAGCUCUUAUCUCAGUCUGGCCCUGUUCAUGCCCCAGUCUUCACAAUGUCUGUAGAUGUGGAUGGUACAACAUAUGAAGCCUCAGGACCAUCCAAGAAAACAGCAAAACUUCACGUGGCAGUGAAGGUAUUGCAAGCGAUGGGAUAUCCAACAGGCUUUGAUGCAGAUAUUGAAUGUAUGAGUUCCGAUGAAAAAUCAGAUAAUGAAAGCAAAAAUGAAGCGGUGUCUUCAAACUCAAGCAAUAAUACUGGAAAUUCUACAACUGAAACCUCCAGCACCUUAGAGGUAAGAACUCAGGGCCCUAUACUCACAGCAAGUGGCAAAAACCCUGUAAUGGAGCUCAAUGAAAAAAGAAGAGGUCUCAAGUAUGAAUUAAUCUCAGAAACUGGUGGAAGUCAUGACAAGCGCUUUGUAAUGGAGGUAGAAGUAGAUGGACAGAAAUUCAGAGGCGCAGGUCCAAAUAAGAAAGUGGCAAAGGCAAGUGCAGCUUUAGCUGCCCUGGAGAAGCUGUUUUCUGGACCCAAUGCAGCAAAUAACAAGAAAAAGAAGAUUAUCCCUCAGGCAAAGGGUGUUGUAAAUACAGCUGUGUCCGCAGCAGUCCAAGCUGUUCGAGGCAGAGGAAGAGGAACUCUAACAAGGGGAGCUUUUGUUGGGGCGACAGCUGCUCCUGGCUACAUAGCUCCAGGCUAUGGAACACCAUAUGGUUACAGCACAGCUGCCCCUGCCUAUGGUUAAUACUUUUAAGCAGUUUUCAGCACGUUUAUCUCACUUUAUUCUCGUUCUCCUCGGACCUUCGUAGCCAUAUCACUUGUAUAAAAUAGGCUGAGAUAUAGUGACUGUAAGCUGUGAUCUCAGUAUACAAAGCUCUCUUAACAUGGGAUCUGCCAUAGCUGUUGGAGAUUCUUGGCUACUAUUCCUGGCCUUUCCUGGAGAGGGAGACUCAUUCAGAAACCCUGUCGGAGAGCCAAAUUGUAGGCAUCCUCAAGGCCCGACUGGGGUCUUCACUGUGUCUCCCAGGAAUCCAGCGUGGCUCCAGCUCUCUGGUGAGCUGUCUCCAGCUCCACAUGGACUUCCUUUCCAGCAUAUCAAGGCUUAUGUAGGCAAAGUGAAAGCCGAUCCAGGUGGUAGUCCCCUGCUGCUGUUGCUUCCUUGGGCAAACAUCAUGUACUUUAGCCCCCCCCCCCCCCCGCAGUAUUUAUCUUGUUUUUCUCAAAGCAUCUUUGAACUCAGGCCUUUCACCCUGUACCUAUCUGUUUGGCCUGUUGUGCUAAGCCUCUGGUCUAAGUGGCUGGUUGGGCCCAGCCACUUCUUUAGAGGAAGUCUCCUGAAGUAGCCGUAAUUAGAGUGAGUACACUUCCAGGAACAAUGGAGCUAAAGGGCCUGGUCCCAAGGAUGCUUUGGCAGAGGGCUCUGAGAAGGGGCUGGCUUGGGACCAGGCUCAGACCCUUAGCCCCAUGUCUUUGCAUCCUGGUCUACCUGCCAUGUAGUGUUCUUGGAGGACUUGCUUCUCACCUGCUCCAGGCAGAACUCUGGGAAGGAGGUGGGAGGUGUAACCAGUCUAGACCUGAAAUCCUAUUCAGCAAGGGGCUUCACUCCCACUAAGGAGUAAGGGCCCUGCUCAGCCUCAGCCCUUCCUUGGCCCCAGGAUGGAGGUGUACGAGUCAAGGAAAAGACUGAGCAGUCAUGGUUAGAAAACCUUUCCCUACUGUACGGUUGCACACAUGACACUGGACUCCUGGCUGUAGCUCACUUAGGUCUGGUGAUGGCCAAGUUCGUUUUUAGAAAUCUGUUUAACUUGUCAUGUAUCUACUUACUGUGUUUUUCUGAAUACUCCAGUGUAAAUAGUCUAAUUUGCAGUGCAAAGUCCUUGGCAAUAACUUUGUGUAUUAUGUCAAAAAACGCUGGAAACCACGACCACCAUGGAUUGUCCUUCCCCUCUGGGGCUAUUACUACAUGUAGGACUCUGAACCUUGAACCUUCGGCGUGGUUGAAGCAGCAGCCUACAUGUGUGGACUGUCAUCAGUGCCUCGCCCAGAGAUGCCUGGCCUUCAUCCAAAGGGACCCUGCUGCCCCGACUCCCGCAGGCAGCGCCCACACUGUGGCUCCUUUGCACUGAGUAUGUUGGACUCUGCCAUAGACUGACCCUCUUGUCUGGCUACUGCAGUUUGUCUGUAAUGCCCUGACAUGUUGCAUAUUCCCCAUCUGAAUAAAAAUAAAUGCUUCUGUCUUAAACAGUAA
This is an RNA transcript of Carlito syrichta (Philippine tarsier), 3620 nucleotides long. It is a transcript of the gene named spermatid perinuclear RNA binding protein, with no coding region annotated. The transcript has 18 exons. The record is from RefSeq and is a predicted model, not a curated record. NCBI's taxonomy places the organism in Eukaryota, Metazoa, Chordata, Mammalia, Primates, Tarsiidae.